This 495-nucleotide ribosomal RNA is filed under the name Pleurocordyceps nipponica. Its description in RNAcentral is "SSU rRNA". It matches the Rfam family "Eukaryotic small subunit ribosomal RNA", at positions 65 to 568 of the family's 1831-position model. The record is from RNAcentral. Lineage: Eukaryota; Fungi; Ascomycota; Sordariomycetes; Hypocreales; Polycephalomycetaceae.
AUAAGCAUUAUACGGCGAAACUGCGAAUGGCUCAUUAUAUAAGUUAUCGUUUAUUUGAUAGCACAUUACUACUUGGAUAACCGUGGUAAUUCUAGAGCUAAUACAUGCUAAAAAUCCCGACUUCGGAAGGGAUGUAUUUAUUAGAUUAAAAACCAAUGCCCUCUGGGCUCUCUGGUGAAUCAUGAUAACUGCUCGAAUCGCAGGGCCUCGUGCCGGCGAUGGUUCAUUCAAAUUUCUUCCCUAUCAACUUUCGAUGUUUGGGUAUUGGCCAAACAUGGUUACAACGGGUAACGGAGGGUUAGGGCUCGACCCCGGAGAAGGAGCCUGAGAGACGGCUACUACAUCCAAGGAAGGCAGCAGGCGCGCAAAUUACCCAAUCCCGACACGGGGAGGUAGUGACAAUAAAUACUGAUACAGGGCUCUUUCGGGUCUUGUAAUUGGAAUGAGUACAAUUUAAAUCCCUUAACGAGGAACAAUUGGAGGGCAAGUCUGGCC